Humulus lupulus (European hop) is the source of this 1251-nucleotide long non-coding RNA. RefSeq lists it as uncharacterized. The record is from RefSeq and is a predicted model, not a curated record. The transcript is spliced from 4 exons. Lineage: Eukaryota; Viridiplantae; Streptophyta; Magnoliopsida; Rosales; Cannabaceae.
AACACAAUUUGUAUUUUGAUAUCUUUAUCACAAUUAUUUAUUUAUUUCACUGUUAACUCUAAAAUUUAUUUCAAACUUUACGACUUCCCUCUAUUGGCCAUGUUUGUAUGUCUUUUCCAACCACCAAAAACGAAAAGAACCAGCUCCCUAUGUAAAGACGAAAACCAGAGACAAAAAUCACCUCUCUCUUGUGCUUCCCCGACUCGUUACUCACCACCGUCAAAACACCGCUGGAGUUCUGUCGCCAUUUCAGUCGCUCGCUCUUCCCUGGCCGUUCUACACGCUGCACUGUUCUUCGUCUCCUCCUCAGUGGGUUUAUCAGAGAACCUGGGGACAAUCCGAAGUCGAUAUCAAUGACAUUUCACGACAAGUUUAAACAGGGACCAUUGCUUUCUGUGGUACUCACCAAACAUAAAAGAGAUCAGAGUAAUGAGUCAUAGGCAGGUUAGGAGAGCAAGACUAUACUAUUCGAGGGACAGACUUCCUGGACUCUCCACUUUCAAGUGAAAAACACUGCUAGUCCCAAGUUGUUUUUACUCAGAAACUUAUUUCCCACAUCUUAUGAUCUUGUAAGCCAUUUUUGAAAAAGGGUGAAAAAUCUCCAAACUACUCAGUCAUUAAUCUUCAUAUCUCAAUCAUUGAAGUAAGUAUUUUAAACUUCCUUGGGUCUUUUGCAUCUUUGAAUUCUCUUUUUCUUAUUAUACCAAUUCUCUUUUUUCUUUUUCAAUAUUUGUCACCAAAUUGGUGUGUUUGCUGUAAAAACAAUGGUGAAUCAAUUACCCAUCUUUUCCUAGAAUGCUCUUUCUCCACGGCUUUGUGGAGUAAAGUAUUAAAAGAGUUCGGGAUAUCUUGGUGUAUGCCUUCUUCAUGUUCGCAACUGUUCUUGUGUCAACUAGAGGGAGAGAAGAGAAUGGCUCGUCUUUGGCAAAGUACUGUGCUGGCAACUUUCUAGGUUAUUUGGUUGGAAAGAAAUAGCAAGAUCUUUGAUGAGUCCUCUUGCUCUGUUGAUUCCCUUUGGGAUAAAAUUAGAUUCUGGGUGGCUACCUGGGUAUAUAGGUCGAAAGGAUUUGAGGAUGUUUUCUUUUUGGAUCUUUGUAGGGAAUGGAUGUAUUUGUGGUCCCAAUCUUUCUUAUUCUGGCUUAUUCUAAGGCUUUGUAUAUGUCUUAUUUUUGUUUCCACGGUAUUCCUCCGCCAAAAGUGAGGGUUUUUAUUGAUUUUAAGAGGAGGUCUUUCUGACCUCUGAUUCUUCUU